GGGCCCGCACAAGCGGUGGAGCAUGUGGUUUAAUUCGAUGAUACGCGAGGAACCUUACCAGGGCUUAAAUGUAGUGGGACAGGUCUAGAGAUAGACCCUUCUUCGGACUCAUUACAAGGUGCUGCAUGGUUGUCGUCAGCUCGUGCUGUGAAGUGUCGGGUUAAGUCCCAUAACGAGCGCAACCCCCAUUUCUAGUUGCCAGCGGUUCGGCCGGGGACUCUAGAGAAACUGCCAGCGUAAGCUGUGAGGAAGGUGGGGAUGACGUCAAAUCAUCACGGCCCUUACGUCCUGGGCUACACACGUGCUACAAUGGCCGGUACAGAGAGCAGCCACUUCGCAAGAAGGAGCG
This 349-nucleotide ribosomal RNA is filed under the name uncultured bacterium. RNAcentral's name for it is "bacterial SSU rRNA". It matches the Rfam family "Bacterial small subunit ribosomal RNA", at positions 917 to 1269 of the family's 1533-position model. The record is from RNAcentral.